CACAAACACAUGGCAAAUGUGGGACCCGCACCAAGCCCUCAUCAUCUUCUUCAACUCAUUUAAAAGUGGUUGAACCGUCCAGUGAAGAAAACUCGCCGGCGAGUUCGAUCAACCAAAGAAAACGAAGGAAUCCAAGGCUAAAAAAUCAGUUGAUUCGGAGAAGAGCCACCCUCCUACUCAUCCUCCUUAUUUUGAGGAAGCGAUUGUAACGUUGAAGAAUAGAACUAGAUCGAACUAGCAUGUGAUACAAAAGUUCAGCGAGGGUUAUAUUGGAGAUGACUACCUACUCUGGUGCUUCGACAGUGGCAAGAGGGCAAACAAAAGUGGCUCCGCGGUGGUGGAGUUUGGGAGACCAGAAGAGAGGGAGCCAGCACUGAAAGGGAGAUGGGUUGUGCCCGUGGUCAUUUGUUCGGAGCUCGGCCGGAGAAGAGAGAAAUGGUGUGCUUUUUUAAGAGAUGACGAAGAUGAGGGUUUGGUGUGACGGUAGUAGGUCAAAAUUUGGGUUGGGUUUAAUUGGAACUGAUAUUAAAAUAGGGAUGAGUCAUUUUAUUCUCAAGCUAUCACGUGUCACUUCGUUUAAAUUAGGAGCAAAUCGGUGUCAAAGUAUAACAGUAGGGGCAUAAUUGGAUGAAAAGUAUAACUAAGGGGAUGAAUAAAUAAUAUUUGAAAGUUAGGGGUA
Lycium ferocissimum is the source of this 679-nucleotide long non-coding RNA. RefSeq lists it as uncharacterized. The transcript has 2 exons. NCBI's taxonomy places the organism in Eukaryota, Viridiplantae, Streptophyta, Magnoliopsida, Solanales, Solanaceae. The record is from RefSeq and is a predicted model, not a curated record.